Schizosaccharomyces pombe (fission yeast) is the source of this 212-nucleotide non-coding RNA. NCBI's taxonomy places the organism in Eukaryota, Fungi, Ascomycota, Schizosaccharomycetes, Schizosaccharomycetales, Schizosaccharomycetaceae. The record is from the annotation of a GenBank genome assembly.
GAGAGAAAAGCGACUGCCUUUACGCUCCCGAGGAUGACCACAUCCCUCUAGACGAAACCAACGUCCGAAUGCCGAACGAGCGACGAUCACGUCGAACUCUUCGACCCAAUUCCUUACUUUUUGUGUGAUGCUCAUCUUCUCGAUAAACUAAGGAAAAAAAGAAAAGAGGAUUGAAAUAUUAAAACAAUAAAAACGAGAAUACUUAUAAUAUA